RNAcentral lists this ribosomal RNA (1241 nucleotides) under metagenome. RNAcentral's name for it is "bacterial LSU rRNA". It matches the Rfam family "Bacterial large subunit ribosomal RNA", at positions 1564 to 2814 of the family's 2925-position model. The record is from RNAcentral.
UGAAUACGAGAUGCUACGGCGUCGAAGCAGUCUAUGUCAUACUUCCAAGAAAAGCUUGCACUGUCAUAAACAAAUAAUGCCUGUACCAUAACCGACACAGGUGGGUAGGUAGAGUAUACUAAGGGGCGCGAGAUAACUCUCUCUAAGGAACUCGGCAAAAUGACUCCGUAACUUCGGGAGAAGGAGUGCCUUAUUUAUAAGGUUGCAAUAACAAGAUCCAAGCAACUGUUUACCAAAAACACAGGUCUCCGCUAAGUCGUAAGACGAUGUAUGGGGGCUGACGCCUGCCCAGUGCCAGAAGGUUAAAGAAGUUGGUUAGCAUCCGCGAAGCUGAUAACUGAAGCCCUGGUGAACGGCGGCCGUAACGAUAACGGUCCUAAGGUAGCGAAAUUCCUUGUCGGGUAAGUUCCGACCCGCACGAAAGGCGUAAUGAUUUGGAUACUGUCUCGGAGAGGGGCUCGGUGAAAUAGACUUGUCUGUGAAGAUGCGGACUACCUGCACCAGGACAGAAAGACCCUAUGAAGCUUUACUGUAACCUGAAAUUGAAAUUGGACUUUACUUGCGCAGUAUAGGUGGGAGGCGUCGAGAAUAUUCUUGCGGGAUUAUUGGAGCCAUCAGUGAGAUACCACUCUUGUAAUGUUAGAUUUCUAACUUUGUAUCAUUAUCUGGUCAAAGAACAGUUUCAGGCGGGCAGUUUGACUGGGGCGGUCGCCUCCUAAACGGUAACGGAGGCGCACAAAGGUUUCCUCUGAACGGGUAGAAAUCGUAUCUAGAGUGUAAAGGCAUAAGGAAGCUUGACUGUGAGACCUACAAGUCGAGCAGGGACGAAAGUCGGUCUUAGUGAUCUGACGGUGCUGAGUGGAAAGGCCGUCACUCAACGGAUAAAAGUUACUCUAAGGAUAACAGGCUGAUCUCCCCCAAGAGUUCACAUCGACGGGGAGGUUUGGCACCUCGAUGUCGGCUCAUCGCAUCCUGGGGCGGUAGUACGUCCCAAGGGUUGGGCUGUUCGCCCAUGAAAGCGGUACGCGAGCUGGGUUCAGAACGUCGUGAGACAGUUCGGUCCAUAUCCGGUGUAGGCGUUAGAAUAUUGAGAGGAGCCUUCUUUAGUACGAGAGGACCGAGAAGGACAUACCUCUGGUGUACCAGUUAUCGUGCCAACGGUAAACGCUGGGUAGCUAUGUGUGGAGUGGAUAACCGCUGAAAGCAUCUAAGUGGGAAGCCCACCUCAAGAUAAGUAUUCU